UGGGGAAUAUUGCGCAAUGGGCGAAAGCCUGACGCAGCGACACCGCGUGAGCGAUGACGCCCUUAGGGGUGUAAAGCUCUGUCAAGAGGAACGAUUAUGACGGUCCCUCUGAAGGAAGUCACGGCUAAUUACGUGCCAGCAGCCGCGGUAAUACGUAAGUGGCGAGCGUUAUCCGGAUUUAUUGGGCAUAAAGAGCGCGUAGGUGGUAGUUUAAGUCAGAUGUUAAAUCCCACAGCUUAACUGUGGCACGCAUUUGAAACUGAAUUACUAGAGAGCAGAAGAGGAAAGCGGAACUCACGGUGUAGCGGUGAAAUGCGUAGAUAUCGUGAGGAACACCAGUGGCGAAGGCGGCUUUCUGGUCUGAUUCUGACACUGAGGCGCGAAAGCGUGGGGAGCGAACGGG
Molecule: ribosomal RNA, 403 nt
Filed under: uncultured bacterium
Lineage: Bacteria
Description: bacterial SSU rRNA
Rfam family: Bacterial small subunit ribosomal RNA
Source: RNAcentral